RNAcentral lists this ribosomal RNA (253 nucleotides) under uncultured bacterium. RNAcentral describes it as "partial 16S ribosomal RNA". It matches the Rfam family "Bacterial small subunit ribosomal RNA", at positions 524 to 776 of the family's 1533-position model. The record is from RNAcentral.
UACGGAGGGGGCUAGCGUUAUUCGGAAUUACUGGGCGUAAAGCGCACGUAGGCGGCUUUGUAAGUCAGAGGUGAAAGCCUGGAGCUCAACUCCGGAACUGCCUUUAAGACUGCAUCGCUCGAAUCAUGGAGAGGUCAGUGGAAUUCCGAGUGUAGAGGUGAAAUUCGUAGAUAUUCGGAAGAACACCAGUGGCGAAGGCGACUGACUGGACAUGUAUUGACGCUGAGGUGCGAAAGCGUGGGGAGCAAACAGG